GAUAUGACAUCAUAAGGCUGUGCCUGGCUCUUGCUCUUUUGUGAUUUGGCUGAAGAAAGAAAAACAUCCACGUGACACACUAUUAUACAGAUGGCGUUUAUUAAAGAGGAGAGUGAAGACAUUAGGAUUGCAGAAGUAUUCAGCAUCAAACAUGAAGAUACUGAGGAACAAACAGGUAUAUUACAACGUCACAUCUGCCAAGCCAGAGUUGCUCAUGUCAUGCCGGCACCUCAAGAGAUUCUUCUCAACAUGGCCACCAUUUCAGAGUCUCAUCCCAUCAUGGCCGCCAUUUCACAGUAUGCUCACGCCACGCCUGAGU
Long non-coding RNA from Sinocyclocheilus anshuiensis, 319 nucleotides. RefSeq lists it as uncharacterized. The transcript is spliced from 3 exons. The record is from RefSeq and is a predicted model, not a curated record. NCBI's taxonomy places the organism in Eukaryota, Metazoa, Chordata, Actinopteri, Cypriniformes, Cyprinidae.